This 453-nucleotide ribosomal RNA is filed under the name uncultured organism. RNAcentral describes it as "partial 16S ribosomal RNA". It matches the Rfam family "Bacterial small subunit ribosomal RNA", at positions 332 to 801 of the family's 1533-position model. The record is from RNAcentral.
UACACUCCUACGGGAGGCAGCAGUGGGGAAUAUUGGACAAUGGGGGCAACCCUGAUCCAGCCAUGCCGCGUGAGUGAUGAAGGCCCUAGGGUUGUAAAGCUCUUUUGUGCGGGAAGAUAAUGACGGUACCGCAAGAAUAAGCCCCGGCUAACUUCGUGCCAGCAGCCGCGGUAAUACGAAGGGGGCUAGCGUUGCUCGGAAUCACUGGGCGUAAAGGGUGCGUAGGCGGGUCUUUAAGUCAGGGGUGAAAUCCUGGAGCUCAACUCCAGAACUGCCUUUGAUACUGAGGAUCUUGAGUCCGGAAGAGGUGAGUGGAACUGCGAGUGUAGAGGUGAAAUUCGUAGAUAUUCGCAAGAACACCAGUGGCGAAGGCGGCUUACUGGUCCGGUACUGACGCUGAGGCACGAAAGCGUGGGGAGCAAACAGGAUUAGAAACCCGGGUAGUCCCAUGAU